CCCGGCCGCCGAGCAGCUCUUUGAACGCCUGGGGUGUCAACAUCCGCGGUUAAGGGGCCCCGGUCCUUAUGCCAGUCAGUGCAUAGAAAGCCCGAGAAGGGGAACUUGAGGGCGGAAAGAUAAGAUUUUAAUCUCUAUGCUGCAACUGAGGCUCAAACAAAUGACAGAGCCAAAGUUCCAAAGGCCAGGACUGUGCCUACUACACUCCAGGAUAUCUACCAAUCCCUUCUGCAUGCAAAGUCUCUGUUGAGAAAUCAGCUGAUGGGCUUAUGGGACCUGCAGGAGCAGCUAAAGAUGCAACAGAAGAAUCGAUAAUAGAAGAUGACAAGAGGAGAAACUACGGAGGAG
Long non-coding RNA from Rhinolophus ferrumequinum (greater horseshoe bat), 348 nucleotides. RefSeq lists it as uncharacterized. The transcript is spliced from 5 exons. The record is from RefSeq and is a predicted model, not a curated record. NCBI's taxonomy places the organism in Eukaryota, Metazoa, Chordata, Mammalia, Chiroptera, Rhinolophidae.